UGAGCAACCUGCCCUUGACUCUGGAUAAGCCUGGGAAACUGGGUCUAAUACCGGAUAUGACUCCUCAUCGCAUGGUGGGGGGUGGAAAGCUUUAUUGUGGUUUUGGAUGGACUCGCGGCCUAUCAGCUUGUUGGUGAGGUAAUGGCUCACCAAGGCGACGACGGGUAGCUGGUCUGAGAGGACGGCCAGCCACAUUGGGACUGAGACACGGCCCAGACUCCUAGGAGG
Molecule: ribosomal RNA, 228 nt
Filed under: uncultured bacterium
Lineage: Bacteria
Description: partial 16S ribosomal RNA
Rfam family: Bacterial small subunit ribosomal RNA
Source: RNAcentral